RNAcentral lists this ribosomal RNA (212 nucleotides) under Staphylococcus aureus. Its description in RNAcentral is "partial 16S ribosomal RNA". It matches the Rfam family "Bacterial small subunit ribosomal RNA", at positions 1 to 206 of the family's 1533-position model. The record is from RNAcentral. Lineage: Bacteria; Bacillati; Bacillota; Bacilli; Caryophanales; Staphylococcaceae.
UUUAUGGAGAGUUUGAUCCUGGCUCAGGAUGAACGCUGGCGGCGUGCCUAAUACAUGCAAGUCGAGCGAACGGAUGAGAAGCUUGCUUCUCUGAUGUUAGCGGCGGACGGGUGAGUAACACGUGGAUAACCUACCUAUAAGACUGGGAUAACUUCGGGAAACCGGAGCUAAUACCGGAUAAUAUUUUGAACCGCAUGGUUCAAAAGUGAAAG